RNAcentral lists this ribosomal RNA (610 nucleotides) under uncultured bacterium. Its description in RNAcentral is "bacterial SSU rRNA". It matches the Rfam family "Bacterial small subunit ribosomal RNA", at positions 60 to 665 of the family's 1533-position model. The record is from RNAcentral.
AGUCGAGCGGCAGCGCGGGGGCAACCCUGGCGGCGAGCGGCGAACGGGUGAGUAAUGCUUUGGAAUCUGCCCAGUAGUGGGGAAUAACCAGCCGAAAGGUUGGCUAAUACCGCAUACGACCUUUGGGUGAAAGCGGGGGAUCGCAAGACCUCGCGCUAUUGGAUGAGCCAAAGUCGGAUUAGCUAGUUGGUGAGGUAACGGCUCACCAAGGCGACAAUCCGUAGCUGGUCUGAGAGGACGACCAGCCACACUGGGACUGAGACACGGCCCAGACUCCUACGGGAGGCAGCAGUGGGGAAUAUUGGACAAUGGGGGAAACCCUGAUCCAGCGACGCCGCGUGUGUGAAGAAGGCCUGCGGGUUGUAAAGCACUUUUAGUGGGGAUGAAAAGCUCAGGGCUAAUACCCUUGGGUCUUGACCUAACCCAAAGAAAAAGCACCGGCUAACUCUGUGCCAGCAGCCGCGGUAAUACAGAGGGUGCGAGCGUUAAUCGGAAUUACUGGGCGUAAAGCGUGCGUAGACGGUUAUUUAAGUCGGAUGUGAAAUCCCCGGGCUCAACCUGGGAAUUGCAUUCGAUACUGGAUAGCUAGGGUGCGGAAGAGGGAAGCGGA